GCGUGAGUGAUGAAGGCCUUCGGGUUGUAAAGCUCUUUUAGAUGUGACGAUGAUGACGGUAACAUCAGAAAAAGCCCCGGCUAACUUCGUGCCAGCAGCCGCGGUAAUACGAAGGGGGCGAGCGUUGUUCGGAAUCACUGGGCUUAAAGCGUACGUAGGCGGACUUGUAAGUCAGAAGUGAAAGCCCAGGGCUUAACCCUGGAAUUGCUUUUGAAACUGCAAAUCUGGAAUCCGGUAGAGGUUGGCGGAACUCCGAGUGUAGAGGUGAAAUUCGC
This 275-nucleotide ribosomal RNA is filed under the name uncultured bacterium. RNAcentral describes it as "partial 16S ribosomal RNA". It matches the Rfam family "Bacterial small subunit ribosomal RNA", at positions 399 to 691 of the family's 1533-position model. The record is from RNAcentral.